Molecule: non-coding RNA, 7439 nt
Organism: Misgurnus anguillicaudatus (oriental weatherfish)
Lineage: Eukaryota; Metazoa; Chordata; Actinopteri; Cypriniformes; Cobitidae
Source: RefSeq, a predicted model, not a curated record
GCCAGUACUGUAAAUAACCCUGUUAUUUGAAUAGUUUUUGAUACCUUUACAUGCACUAUAUUAAGCAUAAGUUUAAGUUUCUAAUUAUUAGUUGUGUUUAUUCUGAUUUAAAGGUGUUUUAUUUACAUGCAAAGUUAUUAAGCCUAUAGAGACUUUUAUUUUGAAAUGACGGACUGCCGCGAAGAUCGCGCAUGCACAGAAAUCGAGCACAUGGAGAGAUCGCUCGUGCACGGAGAGAAGGAGCAACACGGUCACGGAGUCAAAACGAUUAAAUAUAAAGUUAAAGCAGCUAAAAAGUAACUUUAAGUAAUUAUAGUUGCCUGAUUAGUGUAGCACACGGUUUAUUUUGGUUUAUUUUUGGAUAUUUUUGGUUAGUUGUGUGUUUUUGGCCUUCUUUUAUUUUAGUACCUGGUUGAAAGAGGCACAAAGGUCAGUCACGUGUAUUUGUUCACUUUAAUAUAGUUAAUACAAUCUUGAUGCUUGCUUAUAAAUAUUUUCUUGUUAUACAAGUAAUUUUAUAUUGUCUAUAUUAGAUGUUAUCUUUAAAUGUUAUAGUUUUAUUGUUAAAUAUCAUAUUAUUUACUUUCAUUUUGUAUAUAUCUUAAUUAUUUGUGAAUGUUAUUGUGUGUUUUAGCUCUUACGGUGUUGUGGACUCAAAAAAGGCAAUGUGAAGUGAAAUAAGGUGCAUUUUAAGGAAAAUAAAAACUGGAAAAAAGAGUCAAACGCAAACAUCAGUGCAAGAGUCAACUUUAUUUCAACCGGGCUGCUACAGUAAGAGCUUUAUCUCAUUUAUUCUCUAUGCUGAUGUAAAUGAUGACUAGCCAAGGAUCAGAACCAUGCAUUCCAGUGAAGGAAAUGGAAACAGUUGAAGUGCAACCUUCUCAAAGUAAAGCUUUAGAUGAUGAGCUAGAACAUCAUUCAGAAGGAGAAGGAAAUGAAUUACGCCGUUCUGUUCGCAAACGUAUUCCAACAGAAAAAAUGCUUGCAUAUCAGAUGGAGAUGUCUCAAAAGGCAGAAGGCAGGCUUAUGCAAACAUAUGAGCAGUGGAAGGCUGAAGCUCGAAAGGCAAGAGAGCAGCUGAAAACAGACAUCUCUGAGAGUGAAUUAGCAAUGCUUGUAGAUACGAUGGAAGGUGAAAGAGACAAAGUAAUGAAUGCAUACAUAAAGGUCCGCAGUGAUGUCACUCCUUCCACAGAUAUAAGACGACGGAUUGAUGCUUGUGAUGCGGUGACAAAGGACAUUGUAAAGAUGGCUUAUGAGAGGAUCUCAGGCGUUGAUGGAGACUUUGACAGCGAAGCAGUAAAGGUGCGUCUUCGUGAACUGCUAGUUCGAGAUUAUGCUCGUUCUGUUUAUGGCUCCACAGUGUCACGUAUCAGUUCCAAACCAAGUCAGUCCUCAUUAAACUCUGCGCUAAGAGCUAAACAAAUUGAAGCGGCAGCAGAGCUUGCGGCUAAGGAAGCAGAAUACGCUGCUAUGAUAGAGGAAAGGGAACAAAGGAAAAGAAUUCAACUUCUAGAAGAGAAGCAAAGGCAAGAACUUAAUGCUGAAAAAAGUGAGUUGCAAACUUUACAAGCAGUAAGGGAGGUAAAGGCAGCUAGAGCAAGACUAGAAGUUUAUGAUAGGGAAGAAACAAUUCAUUCUGGUAAUCAGAACAGUGAGCUACAACAACAUGUAAACCUCCCUAUGCCAGAGCCUUUACGCGCAACCUCAGCUAAACCAAUUCUGAAUGAGAAAGCAUCACCACCAACCAAUGCUGAUGUGUCUUACCUAGCACAGGCUGUCCAAGAUAGCAUGAUGUUGAACAGACUUCCUAUGCCAGAGCCUACCAUCUUCAGUGGUGACCCCAUUCAUUUUGUUGAGUGGAAAACUUCAUUCCAAUCACUCAUUGACAAAAGGCAAAUCUCUCCAGCAGAUAAAUUGUAUUACUUGAAAAGGUAUGUCACUGGUCCUGCUCGUAAGACUUUAGAAGGCAUCUUUUACAGAAACGAUGAGGAAGCCUACCAAGAUGCAUGGAAAAGACUGCAAGAUCGUUAUGGACAGCCAUUCAUCAUACAAAGAGCAUUCAGAGAAAAACUUGCGAGUUGGCCCAGGAUACAAACCAAGGACGCUGAAGGACUCAGAAAUUUCUCAGAUUUCCUAAAUGCAUGUACAGAUGCUAUGCCUCACGUAAAGGGACUGGAUAUAUUGAAUGAUUGUGAAGAGAACAGAAAACUCGUCUGCAAACUUCCAGAUUGGGCGGCUGCCCGUUGGAAUCGUCAAGCCACACAAGCGUUGAGUGAGACUCAGAAUUUCCCAACCUUUCAUGACUUUGCGAGAUUUGUUUCUGCAGAGGCUGAAGUAGCCUGCAACCCUAUUACUUCCUACUCUGCCCUCCAUGCUUCUGAAGCUAACAAAGAGAGACCUAACCCUAAGCUUGUUAGGAAUAAAGCUAAUGUCUUCCAUACAAAAAUGGUCACACAGCAUGAGAAUCCAAGGUUGUCUAAUAAAGUCAUUAAACCCUGUCUGUUCUGUCAAAGUGAAGAGCAUCGAAUUCAUGAUUGUUCUAAAUUCUCUGUUAGAUCUCUUGAAGAGCGAAGGCAGUUCAUUAAGGAAAAUAAGCUGUGCUAUGGAUGUCUGAAGCCCGGUCAUAGUGCCAGAGAGUGUCGCUACAGACAUACAUGUAAUACAUGCAGAAGAAGACACCCUACAUGCCUACACGAUGACACCUUUGUUAUGAGGUCGAAGCCUUCUACUAGUCAUGCCUCAGAAAAUGCACCUGAGAGAGUUGUAACAACGUCUUUGAGCGUAGAAUCUGGUUGCACAUCCACCAUCACCUCAAUGAUUGUACCUGUGUGGUUGUCUUCACAAAGGGACCCAGUCUCUGAGAAACUUGUCUAUGCUCUUCUAGACACACAAAGUGACUCAGUCUUCGUUGAAGAGGCAGUAAGUCAAGGUCUAAAGGUAAACUCAUGCCCAGUUACUCUUAGGCUCACUACUAUGAUUGGGAAAGAUUCAUUAACAUCAAGUGAAAGAGUGUCUGGUCUCAGAGUCAGAGGCUUUAAUUCUACAAUCGUUCUAGACCUUCCUCCUGCAUACACAAAGCAAUGUAUCCCUGUGGAUCGUGCACACAUCCCUACCAAUGAGACCGCCAGACACUGGAAACAUCUCACUGCUCUAACAGAUAAAAUUCCCCCACUUCAAGAUUGUGAGGUUGGACUCUUAAUAGGAUAUAACUGUUCCAGAGCUCUAGCACCCAGAGAAGUGAUCAUUGGAGCAGACAACGAACCAUAUGCUGUUCGCACCGAUCUUGGAUGGAGCAUUGUGGGCCCUUCAUUGAAGAAUCACGAGUCAGUAAGUGGUGUCAACAUAUGUCACAGAGUAUCUAUCAAGGAAAUGCCUUCUGUUACACCAGCAGAUCUUAUUAAAUUACUAGAGUCAGAUUUUAAAGACACUAAUGAAAACACAAAGGCAGUGUCUCAAGAGGACAUCAUGUUCUUGAACAAACUAGAAGAAAAUGUCAAAAUGAACAAAGACAAUCACUUGGAAAUGCCCCUUCCUUUCAGACAGAGACCCUUCCUUCCAGACAACAAACCCCUUGCAGUGGUAAGACUUCAACAUCUCAAGAGGAGAUUCGAAAAGGACAAAGAGUAUAAAGAACAUUAUGUGAAGUUCAUGGAGGAGAUAAUAGAAAAUGGAGAUGCUGAAGGAGACCUUGAUGAAGGAAAGGAAGGAGAAAAAUGGUACAUUCCCCAUCACGGGGUGUAUCACUCGAAGAAGCCGGGGAAAAUUCGCAUAGUCUUCGACUGUUCUGCGAGAUACAAGGGAGCCAGCCUAAAUGAUCAUCUGCUCACAGGCCCUGACCUAAUGAAUAGCCUGGUUGGAAUUCUUUUACGGUUCAGACAGCAUCCAGUUGCCUUGAUGUGUGAUGUCGAAAGAAUGUUUCACCAGUUCCAUGUCGACAAAGCAGAUCGAGACUACUUAAGAUUCCUCUGGUGGAGAAAUGGAGAUGUCAACUCACCACCUCAAACCUUUCGAAUGAGAGUACAUCUUUUUGGUGCCUCGUCAUCCCCUGGAUGUGCCAACUUUGGACUGAAGCAUCUUGCAAAAAAGGGUGAGCAUUCACACUCCCUAGGCUCACAGUUCAUUAUGCGAGAUUUUUACAUGGAUGAUGGAGUUUCCAGUGUAGAAAAUGCAGAGAAAGGAAUUCAGUUGGCACAAGAAGCACGUCAUCUUUGUAGUCUGGGAGGUUUGAGGCUGCAUAAGUUUGUCUCUAACAGCAAGACAGUUUUAGAGAGCAUACCAUCCUCUGAACGUGCAACAGAUGUUAAUACUGUUGAUCUUUCCCUCUCCAAUGAGCCUUUGGAAAGAGCUUUAGGCAUUUACUGGCACCUGGAUGAUGACAACUUCAUAUUUCAUGCUAAUUUUAAGGACCAACCAGCAACCCGAAGAGGUAUACUGUCAACUGUGGCCUCCUUGUUCGAUCCCUUAGGGUUUCUUUCGCCAUUUAUACUGAAGGGAAAGGCUAUUCUACAAGAAACAUGCAGAAGUGGCAUGGGCUGGGACGAUCCCUUACCUGAUGCGUUGAAUCCAAGGUGGGAGCACUGGAAGACCGAUCUCGCUAACUUAGUAAAGGUCAAGGUUCCACGUUGUGUUGUACCUGCUGGAUUUGGAAAAAUCACAAAGAAGGAGAUUCAUAAUUUUUCGGACGCCAGUACAAAUGGGUAUGGCCAGUGCUCAUACCUUCGAAUCGAAAAUGAACAAGGUGACGUCCAUUGUACUCUGCUCAUGGCUAAAUCUAGAGUAUCCCCACUCAAAGUCACAACAAUUCCUCGGUUAGAGUUGACUGCAGCGGUUGUGUCAGUUGCAGUGAAUGAUGUGCUGAAAGCAGAAAUGAAUCUUACUGAUGCAGAGGUAUAUUUCUGGACUGACUCCCAAGUGGUACUGGGUUACAUCAGUAACGAAGCUCGUCGCUUUCACACAUUUGUUGCGAAUCGAGUUCAGAGAAUUCAUCACAGUUCCACUCCUCAACAGUGGCGGUAUAUUCCCUCGGAUGAAAAUCCGGCCGAUUAUGCAUCACGAGGCUUAAGCAUUGAUGAUCUUGUCACUUCCUGCUGGUUCACUGGACCCAACAUCUUAUGGCAAAGACAUAUACCUCCUCCUGUGGACGUUAACCCUCAACUUCAAAUGGAAGACCCUGAGGUUAAAAAGGCUACAUCACUGAUUACUCAUACAGUAGGGAACACCUGUUUAUCUGACCGACUCACAAGGUUAUCUUCAUGGUCCAAAGUCAUCCAAGCAGUGGCACGCUUACUUCGUAGAGUGAGAAAGGACAAGUCAAGUGAUCACAGUACAGUAGCGGAGCGUGAGGAUGCUAAGCGCACUAUUAUCAAGGACUUACAGAGUCAGACUUACCCAGAGGAGAUGGCAUUGUUGAAUAAGGGCAAGACGCUACCUCGCAGCAACAGGCUAUACUAUCUUGAUGCUUUUGUGGAUCAUGACGGAUUGCUUAAGGUGGGAGGAAGACUCGGCAAUGCUUCUGUUUCACACUCUCUCAAACAUCCGGUGAUCCUUCCAAAGGAACAUUACCUAACAAAACUCCUAAUUGCUGAUUGUCAUGAGAAAACUGGACAUCAAGGUAAAGGCUUAACUUUAAAUGAGAUCAGAUCAAGAGGAUUCUGGAUUCCAGGAGUAAACAGGACUGUAGCCUCUUUUGUGCAACACUGUAUAAGAUGUCGUAAACACCGCAGACCCACAGAACAGCAAAAAAUGGCAGAUCUGCCCUCAGAGCGCAUAGAUCCAUCCCCUCCUUUCACUUUCAGUGGAAUGGACUGUUUCGGCCCGUUCUUCACAAAACAAGGGCGUAGAUCAUGCAAGAGGUACGGCCUUCUUUUCACCUGUUUCUGUUGCCGAGCUAUCCACAUUGAGAUGCUGGAUGAUAUGUCCACAGACUCCUUUAUUAAUAGUCUGCGAUGUUUCAUUGCCAUCAGAGGAGCAGUUCGUCAGAUAAAGUGUGACCAAGGAAGUAACUUUAUUGGAGCCAAGAACGAGUUUGCAAAGGCUUUAAGGGAGAUUGACAACAACCGUCUUGUGACAUUCUUAGCAGAAAGGCAGUGUGACUUUAUCUUCAAUGCACCUCAUGCAAGUCACACAGGAGGAGUUUGGGAGAGACAGAUUAGGACAGUAAGGAGCGUUCUUCAUUGCACUCUGUCCUUAUCUUCUGGAAGACUGGAUGAUUCUUGUCUACGGACCUUCUUCUACGAAGCUAUGGCAAUUGUAAAUAGUCGACCGCUGACAGUAGACAAUCUAAAUGAUCCUAAAAGUCCUGAACCUUUAACCCCAAACCACCUGCUCACUUUAAAAACUGCCCAAGCUUUACCACCCCCUGGCAAAUUUGUCAGAGAAGACUUGUAUGCUCGCAAGAGAUGGCGCCAUGUCCAGUACUUAGCGGAACAGUUCUGGAGCCGUUGGAGAAAGGAGUACUUGUCUAACAUCGCGACCAGACAAUGCUGGCUAACCCCCAAGAGGAACAUACAAGUUGGAGAUAUAGUGUUGGAAAAAGCAGAAGACUUGCCUAGAAAUGAGUGGCGUAUGGCAGAAGUUAUUGAGACUGUGGUUGACAAGGAUAAUCUAGUAAGAAGAGUAAAAAUACGCUUUGGAGACAGAAAACUGGGAAAGGAUGGUAAACGUCUAAGCAAACCAUCAGUAGUAGAGCGCCCAGUGCAGAAGUUGGUCCUGCUGCUAGAGGCAGCUUAACAACUUCAUGUAUCCUUUAAGCUCAGCAGAUCAUAGUAGAUGAUUAGUUAUUUUUGUUUUACUCUCAUCUAAGCUAAGUAAUGGUUAAUUCAUUUUAAAAAUCAUUCGUGAUUUAAGUUUGAGAAUAUAGUCACUCGUGAUUUUGGUGGGAGUGUAAAUAACCCUGUUAUUUGAAUAGUUUUUGAUACCUUUACAUGCACUAUAUUAAGCAUAAGUUUAAGUUUCUAAUUAUUAGUUGUGUUUAUUCUGAUUUAAAAGUUUUAUUUACAUGCAAAGUUAUUAAGCCUAUAGAGACUUUUAUUUUGAAAUGGCGGAUAGACGGACUGCCGCGGAAGAUCGCGCAUGCACGGAAAUCGAGCACAUGGAGAGAUCGCUCGUGCACGGAGAGAAGGAGCAACACGGUCACGGAGUUAAACGAUUAAAUAUAAAGUUAAAGCAGCUAAAAAGUAACUUUAAGUAAUUAUAGUUGCCUGAUUAGUGUAGCACACGGUUUAUUUUGGUUUAUUUUUGGUUAGUUGUGUGUUUUUGGCCUUCUUUUAUUUUAGUACCUGGUUGAAAGAGGCACAAAGCUCUUACGGUGUUGUGGACUCAAAAAAGGCAAUGUGAAGUGAAAUAAGGUGCAUUUUAAGGAAAAUAAAAACUGGAAAAAAGAGUCAAACGCAAACAUCAGUGCAAGAGUCAACUUUAUUUCAACCGGGCUGCUACAA